GAUGAACGCUGGCGGCGUGCUUAACACAUGCAAGUCGAACGGAAAGGCCCAAGCUUGCUUGGGUACUCGAGUGGCGAACGGGUGAGUAACACGUGGGUGAUCUGCCCUGCACUUCGGGAUAAGCCUGGGAAACUGGGUCUAAUACCGGAUAGGACCACUUCUUGGAUGUUGUGGUGGAAAGUUUUUUCGGUGUGGGAUGAGCUCGCGGCCUAUCCGCUUGUUGGUGGGGUAAUGGCCUCCCAAGGCGUCGACGGGUAGCCGGCCUGAGAGGGUGUACGGCGACAUUGGGACUGAGAGACGGCCCAGACUCCUGCGGGAGGCAGCGGGGGGGAAUAUGGCACAAUGGGCGCAAGCCUGAGGCAGCGACGCCGGGUGGGGGAUGACGGCCUUCGGGUUGUAAACGCCUUUCGCUGGGGACGAAGCGUUUUGGGAGGGUACCGGGAGAAGAAGCACCGGCUAACUACGG
This 466-nucleotide ribosomal RNA is filed under the name uncultured bacterium. RNAcentral's name for it is "partial 16S ribosomal RNA". It matches the Rfam family "Bacterial small subunit ribosomal RNA", at positions 28 to 506 of the family's 1533-position model. The record is from RNAcentral.